RNAcentral lists this ribosomal RNA (768 nucleotides) under uncultured archaeon. RNAcentral's name for it is "bacterial SSU rRNA". It matches the Rfam family "Archaeal small subunit ribosomal RNA", at positions 89 to 861 of the family's 1478-position model. The record is from RNAcentral.
CUCAGUAACACGUGGACAAAUCUGCCCUAAGGAGGGGGAUAACUUCGGGAAAACUGAAGAUAAUACCCCAUAGAUCAUGAAUGCUGGAAUGCUUCAUGAUUCAAAGCUCCGGCGCCUUAGGAUGAGUCUGCGGCCUAUCAGGUUGUAGUGGGUGUAGUGGACCCACUAGCCACUGACGGGUACGGGCGUUGGGAGACGUCGCCCGGAGAUGGAUUCUGAGACACGAAUCCAGGCCCUACGGGGCGCAGCAGUUACGAAAACUUGACAAUGCGGGAAACCGCGAUCAGGGAAUUCCAAGUGCAUGCACAAUGUGUAUGCCGUUCCAUUGUCUUAAAAACAUAGGAAGUAAGGGCUGGGUAAGACAGGUGCCAGCCGCCGCGGUAAUACCUGCAGCCCGAGUGGUGGUCGAUAUUAUUGAGCCUAAAGCGUCCGUAGCCGGACUAGUAAAUUCUUGGGUAAAUCGGGCAGCUUAACUGUCCGACUUCCGAGGAGACUGCUAGUCUUGGGACUGGGAGAGGUCAGAGGUACUCCAGGGGUAGGGGCUAAAUCCUGUAAUCCUUGGGGGACCACCAGUGGCGAAGGCGUCUGACUAGAACGGAUCCGACGGUAAGGGACGAAACCCUGGGGCGCAAACCGGAUUAGAUACCCGGGUAGUCCAGGGCGUAAACGCUGCAGGCUUGGUGUUGAGGAUCCUACGAGGAUGCUCAGUGCCGGAGUGAAGGGGGUCUCCUCCGCUUGGGGAGUACGUCCGCAAGGAUGAAACUAAAG